RNAcentral lists this ribosomal RNA (253 nucleotides) under uncultured bacterium. Its description in RNAcentral is "partial 16S ribosomal RNA". It matches the Rfam family "Bacterial small subunit ribosomal RNA", at positions 524 to 776 of the family's 1533-position model. The record is from RNAcentral.
UACGUAGGGUGCGAGCGUUGUCCGGAAUUAUUGGGCGUAAAGAGCUCGUAGGCGGUCUGUCGCGUCUGCUGUGAAAACCCGGGGCUCAACUCCGGGCUUGCAGUGGAUACGGGCAGACUAGAGUUCGGUAGGGGAGACUGGAAUUCCUGGUGUAGCGGUGAAAUGCGCAGAUAUCAGGAGGAACACCGGUGGCGAAGGCGAGUCCCUGGACAACACCUGACACUGAGGCACGAAAGCUAGGGGAGCAAACAGG